GGGGCCGUAGCUCAGUUGGGAGAGCGCGUGAAUGGCAUUCACGAGGUCGCGGGUUCAAGUCCCGCCGGCUCCACCA
RNAcentral lists this transfer RNA (76 nucleotides) under Thermosulfurimonas dismutans. RNAcentral describes it as "tRNA-Ala". It matches the Rfam family "tRNA". Rfam says of the family: Transfer RNA (tRNA) molecules are approximately 80 nucleotides in length. The record is from RNAcentral. Lineage: Bacteria; Pseudomonadati; Thermodesulfobacteriota; Thermodesulfobacteria; Thermodesulfobacteriales; Thermodesulfobacteriaceae.